GAUGAACGCUGGCGGCGUGCUUAACACAUGCAAGUCGAACGAGCCUUCGGGCUAGUGGCGGACGGGUGAGUAACGCGUGGGAAUCUGCCCUCAGGAGGGGGAUAACGGCCGGAAACGGCCGCUAAUACCCCAUAUGCCGAGAGGUGAAAUGAAUUUCGCCUGAGGAUGAGCCCGCGUCUGAUUAGCUAGUUGGUGGGGUAAUGGCCCACCAAGGCGACGAUCAGUAGCUGGUCUGAGAGGAUGAUCAGCCACACUGGGACUGAGACACGGCCCAGACUCCUACGGGAGGCAGCAGUGGGGAAUUUUCCGCAAUGGGCGAAAGCCUGACGGAGCAACGCCGCGUGAGGGAUGAAGGCCUCUGGGCUGUAAACCUCUUUUCUCAAGGAAGAAGACAUGACGGUACUUGAGGAAUAAGCCACGGCUAAUUCCGUGCCAGCAGCCGCGGUAAUACGGGAGUGGCAAGCGUUAUCCGGAAUUAUUGGGCGUAAAGCGUCCGCAGGCGGCCUUGUAAGUCUGUCGUUAAAGCGUGGAGCUUAACUCCAUUUGAGCGAUGGAAACUACAAGGCUUGAGUGUGGUAGGGGCAGAGGGAAUUCCCGGUGUAGCGGUGAAAUGCGUAGAUAUCGGGAAGAACACCAGUGGCGAAGGCGCUCUGCUGGGCCAUAACUGACGCUCAUGGACGAAAGCCAGGGGAGCGAAAGGGAUUAGAUACCCCUGUAGUCCUGGCCGUAAACGAUGAACACUAGGUGUCGGGGGAAUCGACCCCCUCGGUGUCGUAGCUAACGCGUUAAGUGUUCCGCCUGGGGAGUACGCACGCAAGUGUGAAACUCAAAGGAAUUGACGGGGGCCCGCACAAGCGGUGGAGUAUGUGGUUUAAUUCGAUGCAACGCGAAGAACCUUACCAGGGUUUGACAUCCUGCGAAUCCCUUGGAAACGAGGGAGUGCCUUCGGGAGCGCAGAGACAGGUGGUGCAUGGCUGUCGUCAGCUCGUGUCGUGAGAUGUUGGGUUAAGUCCCGCAACGAGCGCAACCCACGUCUUUAGUUGCCAGCAUUCAGUUGGGCACUCUAGAGAGACCGCCGGUGAUAAACCGGAGGAAGGUGUGGAUGACGUCAAGUCAUCAUGCCCCUUACAUCCUGGGCUACACACGUACUACAAUGCUACGGACAAAGGGUUGCAAGCUCGCGAGAGUUAGCUAAUCCCAUAAACCGUGGCUCAGUUCAGAUCGUAGGCUGCAACUCGCCUACGUGAAGGAGGAAUCGCUAGUAAUCGCAGGUCAGCAUACUGCGGUGAAUACGUUCCCGGGCCUUGUACACACCGCCCGUCACACCAUGGAAGUUGGCCAUGCCCGAAGUCGUUACUCCAACCCUUGUGGAGGAGGACGCCGAAGGUGGGGCUGAUGACUGGGGUGAAGUCGUAACA
RNAcentral lists this ribosomal RNA (1418 nucleotides) under Cyanobium sp. PCC 8916. Its description in RNAcentral is "bacterial SSU rRNA". It matches the Rfam family "Bacterial small subunit ribosomal RNA". The record is from RNAcentral. Lineage: Bacteria; Bacillati; Cyanobacteriota; Cyanophyceae; Synechococcales; Prochlorococcaceae.